GCUGGGCAUGGUAGCCCAUGCCUGUAAUCCCAGUGGCUUGGGAGGCUGAGGCAGGAGGAUUGUGAGUUCAAAGCAGCCUCAAGAGAAAGCAAGGUGCUAAGCAUUUCAGUGAGACCCUGUCUAUA
Molecule: small RNA, 125 nt
Filed under: Marmota monax (woodchuck)
Lineage: Eukaryota; Metazoa; Chordata; Mammalia; Rodentia; Sciuridae
Source: RNAcentral